RNAcentral lists this ribosomal RNA (300 nucleotides) under uncultured Bacillus sp. RNAcentral's name for it is "partial 16S ribosomal RNA". The stretch from base 60 to 300 matches the Rfam family "Bacterial small subunit ribosomal RNA", at positions 555 to 795 of the family's 1533-position model. Lineage: Bacteria; Bacillati; Bacillota; Bacilli; Caryophanales; Bacillaceae. The record is from RNAcentral.
UGUAGACGGUGGGCAGCUGCAGCGGGAAGGCGGAGGGGGCGCGCGGGAGUCGGAGGCCGUGGGCGUAAAGCGCGUGUGGGCGGGCCGGAAGGCCGGGGGGCGAAGCGGGGGGCUCAACCCCCCGAAGCCCCCGGAACCGCCGCGGCUUGGGUCCGGUAGGGGAGGGUGGAACACCCGGUGUAGCGGUGGAAUGCGCAGAUAUCGGGUGGAACACCGGUGGCGAAGGCGGCCCUCUGGGCCGAGACCGACGCUGAGGCGCGAAAGCUGGGGGAGCAAACAGGAUUAGAUACCCGAGUAGUC